Molecule: long non-coding RNA, 237 nt
Filed under: Homo sapiens (human)
Lineage: Eukaryota; Metazoa; Chordata; Mammalia; Primates; Hominidae
Description: HSALNT0162144
Source: RNAcentral
GGCUGUCCAUAGGGGCGGAGAGGGUUCUACUCCCCAAGGCACACUUGAGAAGCCCCUGGCCAGUCGAGGCACACUGUGGAGGACCUGCCCUGGGAUCAUAUUCUGCACUCUCCACCCCAGCACCCUGACCAAGGGCCCCCAGUCAAGGUGCUGCCAGGGGCCAGGCAGGUGAAGCUGUGGACUAAGCUGGAGACCAAGACCACUGAGGGGCACCAUGGGUUCUGGGGUCAGGAACCA